CAGCAACGAAGCGUGUGGGAAGAAGGCUUUCGGGUUGUAAACCACUUUUGCCCGGGACGAAAGGGAGUGCCCGAAUACGGCAGUCCGAUGACGGUACCGGGAGAAUAAGCCACGGCUAACUCUGUGCCAGCAGCCGCGGUAAGACAGAGGUGGCAAGCGUUGUUCGGAGUUACUGGGCGUAAAGAGUCUGUAGGUGGUCUGUCAAGUCUUUGGUGAAAGGCCGUGNUUAACCAUGGGAAUGCCAAAGAGA
Molecule: ribosomal RNA, 250 nt
Filed under: Leptospirillum ferrooxidans
Lineage: Bacteria; Pseudomonadati; Nitrospirota; Nitrospiria; Nitrospirales; Nitrospiraceae
Description: partial 16S ribosomal RNA
Rfam family: Bacterial small subunit ribosomal RNA
Source: RNAcentral